Molecule: ribosomal RNA, 253 nt
Filed under: uncultured bacterium
Lineage: Bacteria
Description: partial 16S ribosomal RNA
Rfam family: Bacterial small subunit ribosomal RNA
Source: RNAcentral
UACAGAGGGGGCAAGCGUUAUUCGGAAUUAUUGGGCGUAAAGGGCGCGUAGGCGGCAUUGCAAGUGGAAGGUGAAAUCCCUCGGCUUAACCGAGGAACUGCCCUCCAAACUGCGUUGCUUGAGUCCGGGAGAGGUGAGUGGAAUUCCCAGUGUAGCGGUGAAAUGCGUAGAUAUUGGGAGGAACACCAGUGGCGAAGGCGGCUCACUGGACCGGUUCUGACGCUGAGGCGCGAAAGCGUGGGGAGCAAACGGG